This 490-nucleotide ribosomal RNA is filed under the name uncultured bacterium. RNAcentral describes it as "partial 16S ribosomal RNA". It matches the Rfam family "Bacterial small subunit ribosomal RNA", at positions 30 to 507 of the family's 1533-position model. The record is from RNAcentral.
AUUGAACGCUGGCGGCAGGCCUAACACAUGCCAGUCGAACGGUAACAGAAAGCAGCUUGCUGCUUUGCUGACGAGUGGCGGACGGGUGAGUAAUGUCUGGGAAACUGCCUGAUGGAGGGGGAUAACUACUGGAAACGGUAGCUAAUACCGCAUAACGUCGCAAGACCAAAGAGGGGGACCUUCGGGCCUCUUGCCAUCGGAUGUGCCCAGAUGGGAUUAGCUAGUAGGUGGGGUAACGGCUCACCUAGGCGACGAUCCCUAGCUGGUCUGAGAGGAUGACCAGCCACACUGGAACUGAGACACGGUCCAGACUCCUACGGGAGGCAGCAGUGGGGAAUAUUGCACAAUGGGCGCAAGCCUGAUGCAGCCAUGCCGCGUGUAUGAAGAAGGCCUUCGGGUUGUAAAGUACUUUCAGCGGGGAGGUAGGGAGUAAAGUUAAUACCUUUGCUCAUUGACGUUACCCGCAGAAGAAGCACCGGCUAACUCCGUG